GAGAAAUAUGCUUUCUUUAUUAUUCUGAACGCACACACAAUAAACUUUAAAAAUCUCUCUCAAACAUAAAAAUGUGGACUAAUUUUUCCAAGUACUGAUUUACAUCCAAUAUGGACCUAAAAGAAAAA
Molecule: long non-coding RNA, 128 nt
Organism: Salarias fasciatus (jewelled blenny)
Lineage: Eukaryota; Metazoa; Chordata; Actinopteri; Blenniiformes; Blenniidae
Exons: 3
Source: RefSeq, a predicted model, not a curated record